This 629-nucleotide ribosomal RNA is filed under the name uncultured archaeon. RNAcentral describes it as "bacterial SSU rRNA". It matches the Rfam family "Archaeal small subunit ribosomal RNA", at positions 147 to 776 of the family's 1478-position model. The record is from RNAcentral.
UAAUACUGGAUAGGCAAUUAUUCCUGUAAUGGUUGUUUGUUUAAAUGUUUUUCGCCUAAGGAUGGUCUUGCGGCCGAUUAGGUAUUUGGUUAGGUAAUGGCUUACCAAGCCUUUGAUCGGUACGGUUUUUGAGAGCAAGAGCCCGGAGAUGGAACCUGAGACAAGGUUCCAGGCCGUACGGGGUGCAGCAGGCGCGAAACCUCCGCAAUGUGAGAAAUCGCGACGGGGGGAUCCCAAGUGCCAUUCUUAACGGGAUGGCUUUUCUUUAGUGUAAAAAGCUUUUGGAAUAAGAGCUGGGCAAGACCGGUGCCAGCCGCCGCGGUAACACCGGCAGCUCUAGUGGUAGCAAUUUUUAUUGGGCCUAAAGCGUCCGUAGCCGGUUUAAUAAGUCUCGUGGUGAAAUCCUGUAGCUUAACUGUGGGAAUUGCUGGAGAUACUAUUAGACUUGAGACCGGGAGAGGUUAGAGGUACUCCCAGGGUAGAGGUGAAAUUCUGUAAUCCUGGGAGGACCGCCUGUUGCGAAGGCGUCUAACUGGAACGGUUCUGACGGUGAGGGACGAAAGUUAGGGGCGCGAACCGGAUUAGAUACCCGGGUAGUCCUAACUGUAAACGAUGCGGACUUGGUGUUG